Orcinus orca (killer whale) is the source of this 2694-nucleotide long non-coding RNA. RefSeq lists it as uncharacterized. NCBI's taxonomy places the organism in Eukaryota, Metazoa, Chordata, Mammalia, Artiodactyla, Delphinidae. The record is from RefSeq and is a predicted model, not a curated record. The transcript has 5 exons.
UCUCUAAGUACAAACAAGAAUGGCUCCCUAAGAUCAGAGGGUCUUGGGGAGACUUCCCGUAAAGCCACUAGAUGGCGUGAAAGCACUGCACUGGGCCGCCUCUCCGCCACUCUGCCCCGGGCGCCGCGAAGUUUGUGUUCGUGCUGAGAGCUCAGCGUUUAGUCAAAUUCAGUCCAACGAAUUUUGAUCCAAUGUUUCAACUGUCAUUUCUGAAGUUGAACAGGAAGGAAUGACUGAAGGGCAAGUAAUCACUCCCUGGUUGGAGGCUGACUUACUGUUGGCCAAGCAAGGACUGGAUCAUCUCUAACUGGACUGGUCAGUCACUGUGGGCAAUAGAGGUGCUCCUCGUGGAAUUUGCAAGUGGAGAAAAGAUACAAAAUCUUGGAAGCAGUGAGCAUAGUUAGGAGGCAAUGGCAAGAAUCCAGGCGAGAGAUGAUGGUACCUUGGACCAAGAUGACAGUGAUGGAGAUGUAAUUAAAUUCGGCUAGACAAGAAACAGAAAAUACGUAGCUUUGAGUACUUUGGACAAGCAUCUUAGGACCACGUGGGAACCAACAGAAGGGUUGAAUGGUCAAGCUCAUCAUCACCUGAUGCCAACCCAACGUCUGGACUGUCCGGUUACAUAACCCAAUAACUCCCCCUUGUUUAAGUGCGUUUGAGGAAGGUUUACUACUACUACUACUACUACUAUUAUUAUUAACCUAUAUUGUAAACACAUAUAGGAAACAAUUAAAUGUGACUUUGUGUUGUUCCUCUAGUCCCUGUAUGUAGUAUUUAGUGGGUGAACAUCCUCCCCCCACAGCACUUUGUGAAGACUCCAGAAGCCCCCUGGUUGCUCUGCUCACACUCAGGCAAUAGAAAAUUCUGCAGUCAUUUUGAGUCAUAAAACAGUGUCACUUGAGAAAUGUAGAGUCUCAAACGAGAGGAAAACGAUCAAGAGAAUGAGUGGAAUGGCUCUUACUUGGCUGCUGGGUGGUAAAGUAGUGUUCUGUCCUUCUGCUCUUUUGGGCCAGUCAUAUGUAUUAAUAGAAAGUGGACACAUCUGUGCGUUCUUCAUCAGGCCCCACUGGCCCUCCCUGGCCACAGCGUUCAUGACCACGAAAGGCAUGUUUCCUUGAGCUCACCUUUCUCUAUUCCUCAUCAGCUUCUGUUUCUCUGACCAUCCACACCACAGAGCUUUCUCGGUCAGUAUUCCAUCACCCUGUGACAGGAGCCUGAUUGACCCUAUUCGAAAUAACUUUUUAAUGUUAUAAAAUCACCCACAAAUAUGCAAAAGUUGUAAAACUAUUAACUCAUAUUUGAAAACAUUCGUUUGCCACUGAUUUUUAUUUUUUUAAAUCAUGAAGACAGUUAAACAUCAGUGCAAGUCUAAAUGGCCUGAAAAUUAAGGAGAAAAAAACAAAACAAAAAAAAAGAUUAAGAGAACAGGUAACUAAAACUAAAAACAGACCAAACUGCUUCAAGACCCACGGAAUGUGGCAAAUCUGCUCCCAUGGUUCACCCAAAUUAGCAGUACAUGAAAAAACUGAUAGCUGGGAAUAUUCAUUUUUAACCAGAUUGAAGUUUCAAUUUGCUUUCGAUGAAAUCCCCUGGCACAACCUGUGAGAUGGCUGUGUUCCUAGGUCCUCCACCUAUGCCCUCCCCACUUCACAAAGCUCCUGCUGUAGCUGUACCCUCCCUAGAGACAUUCCUUCCUCUGGACCACUACAAGUAGCUAUGGAAGCCCUGGUUAUUCCCCGAAACGUACGGUGCUGCUUACACGCAAACUUUCAGCAAAGUACUGUUAUCAUUCUAUCUCAAAUUUCUCCAGUCCAACAGCUAAAAUUUUCAACUGCCAAAAUCAAUACUGCUUUGAUUCUACUUGGGUAUCAGGUUAUUUCUGAAAGUGUAUUUUAAAUUUUUUCCUGAGGUACCAUGACCUUCUUCUGGACACCAAAAUGUGGCAUCUUGGCUCACAUCUAUUUUCAUCAUGUAGCUUGGUGGAUGUUAGCUGCGGACCCAGAACCUAAAACAUCCAUGGUGGUAGGAACAUAAAACCUACCAGCUCCCUUAUUUCUCUGGUCCUAUUGUGGUACAGAAACAGAAGUAAGAAAAGUAUGGUCAAUAUUCUUAAUUAUUUGUCAUGAAUGAAUAAUCAAUCCAAGUAAAAUAUUCAUUCCUCUACCUCUCAAUUUUAAGUAAUUAGAAUUUUGGGUAGAGUGCAAAUGUGUAUUUAGAUGUUCCAAUGGUGAUUCCUUUCUAAUCACAAGUCAGUAUAAUUUUCUUGGCCAAAGGACUAAGGAGGAAAGGAAACUAAGUGCUUGUUCUCCCCAGGGAUUUUAUAUUCUUAGAAAUACCCUUGCUGAAGUCUUACUAUUUAUUAUUGCCCUGCACUUUGUAGACCACCUAGUACCUCUCUCCCACGGCUCCCAUCUCACCAGGAGAAGGGUUCUCAAAGAAAUAUCCAUGAAAUCUCAGGGCAUUCUGAAGCCAUCCUUCCCCUCUCCCUGUUCUCCAUGCAUCAGCAUUUAUACUCCCUUGGCAGAUUUCACAAAAGGCUGCACACCAGGAGAGGGAAAGGUAAUGAUGUGUGUUUGUCUUAUGGGUGUGCUCACAUUUCAAACUUGUCUACAAUUCCAACAAAUGAAAGGAGUUGUUAAACCAUAACAAAAGCUAAAUAAAAAGAAAUGUUAAACUGUAAAAUGAAUAAAAACU